This 506-nucleotide ribosomal RNA is filed under the name uncultured bacterium. Its description in RNAcentral is "partial 16S ribosomal RNA". It matches the Rfam family "Bacterial small subunit ribosomal RNA", at positions 30 to 523 of the family's 1533-position model. The record is from RNAcentral.
AUUGAACGCUGGCGGUAUGCUUAACACAUGCAAGUCGAACGGCAGCAUGGUCUAGCUUGCUAGACUGAUGGCGAGUGGCGGACGGGUGAGUAACGCGUAGGAAUAUGCCUUGAAGAGUGGGACAACUUGGGGAAACUCAAGCUAAUACCGCAUGUACUCGAGAGAGUAAAGCUGGGGACCUUUAGGCCUGGCGCUUUAAGAUUAGCCUGCGUCCGAUUAGCUAGUUGGUAGGGUGAAGGCCUACCAAGGCGACGAUCGGUAGCUGGUCUGAGAGGAUGAUCAGCCACACUGGAACUGAGAGACGGGCCAGACUCCUACGGGAGGCAGCAGUGGGGAAUAUUGGACAAUGGGGGGAACCCUGAUCCAGCAAUGCCGCGUGUGUGAAGAAGGCCUGAGGGUUGUAAAGCACUUUCAGUGGGGGGGAGGUUUGGAAGGUUAAGAGCUAUUCAAAUGGACGUUACCCACAGAAGAAGCACCGGCUAACUCCGUGCCAGCCGCCGCCGUAA